CAUACAUAUAUAAACCGAUAGCAGCAACGCUAAAAACAUUCUCAACUCGAAUUAACUGUACAGUUGUUCGUAGAUUUAUUACUCAAGUACUGUUAAGAAUCUAGCGACAAAAUGUUUGUUAGCUUGUUACUAUUUUUCGUAUUGGUUUACAUGCAGCAAGUUGGAGGUUUGCCAGCAGAGGCACUCUUGAAAGACUGUACUGGAUUAUGCAAGGAUUAUGUUUAUUCUGGCGACGAUUUUUGGGGAUGCCUUCGAUCCUGUAGUUCUUCUAAACAAAACACCUGGUUUGCAGCUUGACAGUGGUGACUUGGUACGUGACAGCGCUUUUCGGAUCUGUCGGAUACCUACGUUCUGUUUGUAGAUACAUUGUACCUAUUAUUACGUUCGCAAAUUCUUAUUUAAAAUAUAUACGAAAACAAACCAAUAUCACAGGACAUAAACGUUUUCAAUGUAUUUUGAUUGAAAUCUUGAACAUUAUGAUUGACAAUUGAAAGAUACAUGCAACACAAAGAUAUAAUCAUUGCUUGAUCUUACUUCAAGAUACAGAUACUUCUAAGAAUUACUUAGUUCAUAUUUAGAAAUGUUCUCUUUUCAAUGGAACGAAUUGAUAUGCUCUUGUUAUUUUCACAUUAAAUAGAUUUUAUAAUUCCAGACGGUAAAUGAAGCAGACGUCACACCAGUAGAUCUAAAUAUAAAAGUAAAUGAACCUUUAUGUUUUGCCUUAUAUUAUUGCAAUAAAAAUUGAUCACAAGUAA
Long non-coding RNA from Mytilus californianus (California mussel), 755 nucleotides. RefSeq lists it as uncharacterized. The record is from RefSeq and is a predicted model, not a curated record. The transcript has 4 exons. NCBI's taxonomy places the organism in Eukaryota, Metazoa, Mollusca, Bivalvia, Mytilida, Mytilidae.